UGCAGCACGCCGUCUGGACUCCUCGAAGCCUAGGAGCGUUGGGUUCGGGCUUUGUGCCCAGUUUUCAUCUGGAGUGUUGAUGAAACCAGAGCUUGAUGAGUCAUCUCUCACCAUCUGCCGGCGCUCUUAAACACACCAGAUACGGCUUAGUUUUCUCUUCCCUGCCUACGUGCGUAUCUCAUAAACCUCAGCGAGAGAGAAAGAGCAGCAGUGCGCCGCGGUACGUUUUUUUGUCUGUUGCAUUGUUCCGGUGAUUAAUGUCAUUCCUGACUAACCCAGCACACCUACUCGUAAAAGUCUUUUCUUUUUUUUCUUUCUUAAAUCUAAUAACAACAGCUUCUCAGUAUGCGGCAUAAAGCCUCAUUCAUAACCAGCUGGGAGUUGGUCAUGUGACCAGCAUUGGCAUUACCGCUU
Ictalurus punctatus (channel catfish) is the source of this 414-nucleotide long non-coding RNA. The record is from Ensembl. Lineage: Eukaryota; Metazoa; Chordata; Actinopteri; Siluriformes; Ictaluridae.